GACUAGGGAUUCUAACAGUCGAACUUCCUCCAUUGCAAACCAUCUUAAUCAGCUGCAGACCAGGUAUCUUCUGAAAUCCAAACCUGAUCAGGAGAACAACCACAGAUUGUAUUUCUCAAAAAUCAUUGUGUAUCAGAUACAGUGAUUCUGUUGAGAAUUUGACAACUACUGGAGAAGAUCCACUAGGCAGAAGAUCCUGCUUCUGUGAAGUUUUCCAUGCAAAGUGAGUCAACAUUGGCAACUUGUUUAACAGUUUGAUCCUGACAGGUUGAAUUCCAGUGCAACAACACUAACUUAUAUCAGCAUGUUGUAAGACUUCUGAGACUGGUGGUAGGAUCACUAAAACAAUUUAACUGGAGAUCAGUUCCUCACAGCCAAGUACACAAAUGACCAGAUGGCCUACAUAGUUUGUACAAACUUUCUUGUAUUGGAUUGAAGGUACUUUGUGUGUCUGAACCUAAGGAUCUAUUCCUACACUGAGUGGACUGCACAAGUGUUAGCUGCUUUAAUAGCUUGUGUUUUGUUUAGAGAUCAGUGUGCUAAAUGGUCCCAGAUAAGGAAAAAAGAAUCUGGAAAGUACUUUUCAUAUUCUACAAGAUUUCCACAGCCUAGCUGCUUAAACUCUCUGGACCUUAAUUAACUUUCUACAAGUAAUAGCAGAUGUAUCUAUUUCUGAUUCCCUAGUCAUAUAUUGAUUAUAGGACCUACUGUUUUUUUGAAGCAAGGAAACCUCUUAGUACUAGAGAAAACAUAAAGAUGAAUUGGUAAGUUGUUUUGCAGCAAUUUAGCUGAGUGAAUGCUAAAUACUCAGAAUCACACCUACUCUCAAUCACUUGCUUUUUACUAUAUGCUUGCUCUGGAUAAUCAGCACAGGCAAGUGUUUGUGUUAGGCUGGGCCAGCUAAACCUUGUUUUCUAAGGAUGUGGGUGCAGCUGCCUUGCAGAAAUGUAUUGCAGUAAAAUCCUCCAGUUCUCGAAUAUGGCUGUAAUGGCUGUCUAAAAAUAAUACCUAACAAAGGGUGUCCUUCGCAGGGGAAGCCAGAAAUAACCUUUUUCUCUGUCAAAAUGUAAUCAGUUAAUCUACAAGCAGCAGCUUGACCCAGAGACCACGAAAGAGCUGACUUUCAACGUAAGGAAUCUUGAGCUUGGACUUCCCCCCAAAGAGAUAAUAAAUACCACUCGCUUCAA
Molecule: long non-coding RNA, 1187 nt
Organism: Vidua macroura (Pin-tailed whydah)
Lineage: Eukaryota; Metazoa; Chordata; Aves; Passeriformes; Viduidae
Exons: 4
Source: RefSeq, a predicted model, not a curated record